This 468-nucleotide ribosomal RNA is filed under the name uncultured bacterium. RNAcentral's name for it is "partial 16S ribosomal RNA". It matches the Rfam family "Bacterial small subunit ribosomal RNA", at positions 28 to 507 of the family's 1533-position model. The record is from RNAcentral.
GACGAACGCUGGCGGCGUGCUUAACACAUGCAAGUCGAACGGAAAGGCCCUGCUUUUGUGGGGUGCUAGAGUGGCGAACGGGUGAGUAACACGUGAGUAACCUGCCCUUGACUUUGGGAUAACUUCAGGAAACUGGGGCUAAUACCGGAUAGGAGCUCCUGCUGCAUGGUGGGGGUUGGAAAGUUUCGGCGGUUGGGGAUGGACUCGCGGCUUAUCAGCUUGUUGGUGGGGUAGUGGCUUACCAAGGCUUUGACGGGUAGCCGGCCUGAGAGGGUGACCGGCCACAUUGGGACUGAGAUACGGCUCAGACUCCUACGGGAGGCAGCAGUGGGGAAUAUUGCACAAUGGGCGGAAGCCUGAUGCAGCAACGCCGCGUGCGGGAUGACGGCCUUCGGGUUGUAAACCGCUUUCGCCUGUGACGAAGCGUGAGUGACGGUAAUGGGUAAAGAAGCACCGGCUAACUACGUG